This 75-nucleotide transfer RNA is filed under the name uncultured DHVE6 group euryarchaeote. Its description in RNAcentral is "tRNA-Lys". It matches the Rfam family "tRNA". From Rfam's summary of the family: Transfer RNA (tRNA) molecules are approximately 80 nucleotides in length. Lineage: Archaea; Methanobacteriati; Methanobacteriota. The record is from RNAcentral.
GAGCCUGUAGCUCAGUCUGGUCAGAGCGACUGGCUCUUAACCAGUAGGUCGCGGGUUCAAAUCCUGUCAGGUGGA